RNAcentral lists this ribosomal RNA (614 nucleotides) under Bacillus licheniformis. RNAcentral's name for it is "bacterial SSU rRNA". It matches the Rfam family "Bacterial small subunit ribosomal RNA", at positions 441 to 1045 of the family's 1533-position model. Lineage: Bacteria; Bacillati; Bacillota; Bacilli; Caryophanales; Bacillaceae. The record is from RNAcentral.
AGGGAAGAACAAGUACCGUUGGAAUAGGGCGGCACCUUGACGGUACCUAACCAGAAAGCCACGGCUAACUACGUCCCAGCAGCCGCGGUAAUACGUAGGUGGCAAGCGUUGUCCGGAAUUAUUGGGCGUAAAGCGCGCGCAGGCGGUUUCUUAAGUCUGAUGUGAAAGCCCCCGGCUCAACCGGGGAGGGUCAUUGGAAACUGGGGAACUUGAGUGCAGAAGAGGAGAGUGGAAUUCCACGUGUAGCGGUGAAAUGCGUAGAGAUGUGGAGGAACACCAGUGGCGAAGGCGACUCUCUGGUCUGUAACUGACGCUGAGGCGCGAAAGCGUGGGGAGCGAACAGGAUUAGAUACCCUGGUAGUCCACGCCGUAAACGAUGAGUGCUAAGUGUUAGAGGGUUUCCGCCCUUUAGUGCUGCAGCAAACGCAUUAAGCACUCCGCCUGGGGAGUACGGUCGCAAGACUGAAACUCAAAGGAAUUGACGGGGGCCCGCACAAGCGGUGGAGCAUGUGGUUUAAUUCGAAGCAACGCGAAGAACCUUACCAGGUCUUGACAUCCUCUGACAACCCUAGAGAUAGGGCUUCCCCUUCGGGGGCAGAGUGACAGGUGGUGCA